Molecule: ribosomal RNA, 492 nt
Filed under: uncultured bacterium
Lineage: Bacteria
Description: partial 16S ribosomal RNA
Rfam family: Bacterial small subunit ribosomal RNA
Source: RNAcentral
AGUGAACGCUGGCGGUAGGCCUAACACAUGCAAGUCGAACGGCAGCACAGUAAGAGCUUGCUCUUACGGGUGGCGAGUGGCGGACGGGUGAGGAAUACAUCGGAAUCUACUUUUUCGUGGGGGAUAACGUAGGGAAACUUACGCUAAUACCGCAUACGACCUACGGGUGAAAGCAGGGGAUCUUCGGACCUUGCGCGAUUGAAUGAGCCGAUGCCGGAUUAGCUAGUUGGCGGGGUAAAGGCUCACCAAGGCGACGAUCCGUAGCUGGUCUGAGAGGAUGAUCAGCCACACUGGAACUGAGACACGGUCCAGACUCCUACGGGAGGCAGCAGUGGGGAAUAUUCGACAAUGGGCGAAAGCCUGAUCCAGCCAUACCGCGUGGGUGAAGAAGGCCUUCGGGUUGUAAAGCCCUUUUGUUGGGAAAGAACAGAAGCAGGUUAAUAUCCCCCCGUUUUGACGGUACCCAAAGAAUAAGCAACGGCUAACUUCGUG